CCUACGGGUGGCAGCAGUGGGGAAUAUUGCACAAUGGGGGAAACCCUGAUGCAGCGACGCCGCGUUAGUGAAGAAGUAUUUCGGUAUGUAAAGCUCUAUCAGCAGGGAAGAAGCAAGACGGUACCUGACUAAGAAGCCCCGGCUAACUACGUGCCAGCAGCCGCGGUAGUACGUAGGUGGCAAGCGUUAUCCGGAUUUACUGGGUGUAAAGGGAGCGUAGACGGUGUGGCAAGGCUGAAGUGAAGGCCCAGGGCGUAACCCUGGGACUGUUUUGGAAACUGUUAGACUAGAGUGCUGGAGAGGUAAGUGGAAUUCCUAGUGUAGCGGUGAAAUGCGUAGAUAUUAGGAGGAACACCAGUGGCGAAGGCGGCCUGCUGGACUGCGACUGACGUUGAGGCCCGAAAGCGUGGGGAGCAAACAGGAUUAGAUACCCGUGUAGUC
This 441-nucleotide ribosomal RNA is filed under the name uncultured bacterium. RNAcentral describes it as "partial 16S ribosomal RNA". It matches the Rfam family "Bacterial small subunit ribosomal RNA", at positions 338 to 795 of the family's 1533-position model. The record is from RNAcentral.